RNAcentral lists this long non-coding RNA (983 nucleotides) under Homo sapiens (human). RNAcentral's name for it is "HSALNT0309115". Lineage: Eukaryota; Metazoa; Chordata; Mammalia; Primates; Hominidae. The record is from RNAcentral.
AUUGUACUGGUCAAGUCAGUCAAACCAGUCAAGCGGACAAGAAAGAGGGACUCAGAUCACCUGGAAUUAUGGCAAUGUCUUGCAAGGAUACUUCUGAAAAUCGGGUGUCACGGGAAGCUGAACUUUGCAUCCCAGUUCUGAAACAUACAGCAACCUCAUGGAGACAGAUGCAUCACUCGGCAUUUUGGGGCGGUAGCGAGUUCAGUGACCUGCCAGAUUUCUUAGCAUUAACUUGAAAGAGAAGACACUUAUUUGAUUUGAUUUGAUUUCUACUAGUCAAGUGGGCACCUGGAUUAAGCAGACUCUCCCCCAGGCACCCCGGAGGCCUCUGACAUCCCUUAUGUCCAGCCCAGACAUGGCCUUUCUGUGGCCUCAGCGUAUCUGCCCAGUCCAAUCGGCUAUAGCCAGAAUAAAAAGGGAGGAAGAUCCAAGAGAGGGAAGGAGGCUUUCCCAGCUACUUUCCUGCUAACCAGGGCAGAGGCUGGUCUACAUCCCCCUAUCCAGGUGGCCCCUGCAGUCAUGGCUUUUCUGCUUCUAGAAGCCAUCCCUGAGAACAUCAUUGCAGAACUCAAAAUACAUUGCAUCAUACAAAAUGAAGUGGAGAAUUAAGGUAAUUAUCCAAUUAUUAAAAACCAUUUCUUAUUCGUUAGCUAAAUAACUCUUCAAGUCUCCAUUUUACAUGUGUUCCUCUGAUGUGAAUUUGACCCUGGCCUAUUUGUUUUUCAGUAAAGUCCAAAAUCCAAAAUAGCCCAACAGAAAGACCCCCUCCCAGUAUUCCACAGCAUCAGUAAUAAAGCUCCUUAUCAGAUCUAAUUUAAAUCUUUCUUGAAACAACUUAAGUCCUUCUGCACCAUCCUCUGCAAGUGCAGAACAGCCAGAGUGCAGGUUGCAGGAUGUGGGGGGAUUAUUACAGUGAAAUCGGCACACGGAUCUCAAGAUGAAAGUUUGCUGUUUCUCCAGACCGUCUAGGUGACUGCCUUUUG